This 334-nucleotide ribosomal RNA is filed under the name uncultured eukaryote. Its description in RNAcentral is "partial 18S ribosomal RNA". It matches the Rfam family "Eukaryotic small subunit ribosomal RNA", at positions 1470 to 1796 of the family's 1831-position model. The record is from RNAcentral.
CCCUUAGAUGCCCGGGGCCGCACGCGCGCUACACUGAAGGAAUCAGCGUGGCUUUCUCCCUGACCCGAAAGGGUUGGGAAACCCGUUGAAUCUCCUUCGCGAUAGGGAUUGGGGCUUGAAAUUGUUCCCCAUGAACGAGGAAUUCCCAGUAAGCGCGAGUCAUAAGCUCGCGUUGAUUACGUCCCUGCCCUUUGUACACACCGCCCGUCGCUACUACCGAUUGAACGGUUUAGUGAGGGCCUCGGAUUGGUCUCGGCCCGCUCUUUACCGGGCGGCGCCGUUGGUCGAGAAGACGCUCGAACUUGAUCGUUUAGAGGAAGUAAAAGUCGUAACA